CAGCAAUGCCGCGUGUGUGAAGAAGGCCUUCGGGUUGUAAAGCACUUUUGUCCGGAAAGAAAUCGCGCUGGUUAAUACCUGGCGUGGAUGACGGUACCGGAAGAAUAAGCACCGGCUAACUACGUGCCAGCAGCCGCGGUAAUACGUAGGGUGCGAGCGUUAAUCGGAAUUACUGGGCGUAAAGCGUGCGCAGGCGGUUUUGUAAGACAGGCGUGAAAUCCCCGGGCUUAACCUGGGAAUUGCGCUUGUGACUGCAAGGCUAGAGUGCGUCAGAGGGGGGUAGAAUUCCACGUGUAGCAGUGAAAUGCGUAGAGAUGUGGAGGAAUACCGAUGGCGAAGGCAGCCCCCUGGGACGUGACUGACGCUCAUGCACGAAAGCGUGGGGAGCAAACAGGAUUAGAUACCCUGGUAGUCCACGCCCUAAACGAUGUCAACUAGUUGUUGGGGAUUCAUUUUCUCAGUAACGUAGCUAACGCGUGAAGUUGACCGCCUGGGGAGUACGGUCGCAAGAUUAAAACUCAAAUGAAUUGACGGA
This 535-nucleotide ribosomal RNA is filed under the name uncultured bacterium. RNAcentral's name for it is "bacterial SSU rRNA". It matches the Rfam family "Bacterial small subunit ribosomal RNA", at positions 389 to 917 of the family's 1533-position model. The record is from RNAcentral.